UACGAAGGGGGCUAGCGUUGCUCGGAAUCACUGGGCGUAAAGCGCACGUAGGCGGAUCUUUAAGUCAGAGGUGAAAUCCCAAGGCUCAACCUUGGAACUGCCUUUGAUACUGGGGAUCUCGAGUCCGGAAGAGGUGAGUGGAACUGCGAGUGUAGAGGUGAAAUUCGUAGAUAUUCGCAAGAACACCAGUGGCGAAGGCGGCUCACUGGUCCGGUACUGACGCUGAGGUGCGAAAGUGUGGGGAGCGAACAGG
This 253-nucleotide ribosomal RNA is filed under the name uncultured bacterium. RNAcentral's name for it is "partial 16S ribosomal RNA". It matches the Rfam family "Bacterial small subunit ribosomal RNA", at positions 524 to 776 of the family's 1533-position model. The record is from RNAcentral.